UUUAUGGGAAUUAUUUGGGGGUAAAACCCCCCUUCCUGGUUUUUUCCCAACCGUAUAGUUUAAUUCCUGGCUCAGAAUGAGCGCUGGCGUCUGGCAUAACACAUGCAAGUCGAGCGGAUGAAGGGAGCUAGCUCCUGGAUUCAGCGGCGGACGGGUGAGUAAUGCCUAGGAAUCCGCCUGGUAGUGGGGGAUAACGUCCGGAAACGGGCGCUAAUGCCGCAUACGUCCUGAGGGAGAAAGUGGGGGAUCUUCGGACCUCACGCUAUCAGAUGAGCCUAGGUCGGAUUAGCUAGUUCGUGGGGUAAAGGCCUACCAAGGCGACGAUCUGUAACUGGUCCGAGAGGAUGAUCAGUCACACUGGAACUGAGACACGGUCCAGACUCGUACGGGAGGCAGCAGUGGGGAAUAUUGGACAAUGGGCGAAAGCCUGAUCCAGCCAUGCCGCGUGUGUGAAGAAGGUCUUCGGAUUGUAAAGCACUUUAAGUUGGGAGGAAGGGCAGUAAGUUAAUACCUUGCUGUUUUGACGUUACCAACAGAAUAAGCACCGGCUAACUUCGUGCCAGCAGCCGCGGUAAUACGAAGGGUGCAAGCGUUAAUCGGAAUUACUGGGCGUAAAGCGCGCGUAGGUGGUUCAGCAAGUUGGAUGUGAAAUCCCCGGGCUCAACCUGGGAACUGCAUCCAAAACUACUGAGCUAGAGUACGGUAGAGGGUGGUGGAAUUUCCUGUGUAGCGGUGAAAUGCGUAGAUAUAGGAAGGAACACCAGUGGCGAAGGCGACCACCUGGACUGAUACUGACACUGAGGUGCGAAAGCGUGGGGAGCAAACAGGAUUAGAUACCCUGGUAGUCCACGCCGUAAACGAAGUCGACUAGCCGUUGGGAUCCUUGAGAUCUUAGUGGCGCAGCUAACGCGAUAAGUCGACCGCCCGGGGACUCCCCGUCCCU
This 943-nucleotide ribosomal RNA is filed under the name Pseudomonas sp. RNAcentral describes it as "bacterial SSU rRNA". It matches the Rfam family "Bacterial small subunit ribosomal RNA", at positions 1 to 891 of the family's 1533-position model. The record is from RNAcentral. Lineage: Bacteria; Pseudomonadati; Pseudomonadota; Gammaproteobacteria; Pseudomonadales; Pseudomonadaceae.